This 110-nucleotide small RNA is filed under the name Caenorhabditis elegans. RNAcentral describes it as "Unclassified non-coding RNA T07A9.18". The record is from RNAcentral. Lineage: Eukaryota; Metazoa; Nematoda; Chromadorea; Rhabditida; Rhabditidae.
UAAAAUCGUUUACUGAAGUUAACAAUAGAAAUCAACAAAAAGUUUUGCAGAUUUACUUCUUUCCAGCAGAGACCUUGGCCUUGGCGGUUCCUCGGACCUUCUUUUGUCUG